Molecule: ribosomal RNA, 39 nt
Filed under: Plasmodium sp.
Lineage: Eukaryota; Apicomplexa; Aconoidasida; Haemosporida; Plasmodiidae
Description: small subunit ribosomal RNA
Source: RNAcentral
UUGCCUUGUACACACCGCUCGUCACGCAAGAUUAUAUAU